CCUACGGGAGGCUGCAGUGGGGAAUAUUGCACAAUGGGGGAAACCCUGAUGCAGCGACGCCGCGUGAGUGAAGAAGUAUUUCGGUAUGUAAAGCUCUAUCAGCAGGGAAGAAAAUGACGGUACCUGAUUCAGAAGCCCCGGCUAACUACGUGCCAGCAGCCGCGGUAAUACGUAGGGGGCAAGCGUUAUCCGGAUUUACUGGGUGUAAAGGGAGCGUAGACGGCAGCACAAGUCUGGAGUGAAAUGCCGGGGCUUAACCCCGGAACUGCUUUGGAAACUGUGCAGCUAGAGUGCAGGAGAGGUAAGUGGAAUGCCUAGUGUAGCGGUGAAAUGCGUAGAUAUUAGGAGGAACACCAGUGGCGAAGGCGGCUUACUGGACUGUAACUGACGUUGAGGCUCGAAAGCGUGGGGAGCAAACAGGAUUAGAUACCCUGGUAGUC
RNAcentral lists this ribosomal RNA (440 nucleotides) under uncultured bacterium. RNAcentral's name for it is "partial 16S ribosomal RNA". It matches the Rfam family "Bacterial small subunit ribosomal RNA", at positions 338 to 795 of the family's 1533-position model. The record is from RNAcentral.